RNAcentral lists this long non-coding RNA (277 nucleotides) under Mytilus galloprovincialis (Mediterranean mussel). Lineage: Eukaryota; Metazoa; Mollusca; Bivalvia; Mytilida; Mytilidae. The record is from RNAcentral.
AAAUUACACUUUUGAAAGAAGUGCUAGUGUUUCAGAUAAAUUUUAGAAAAUGCAAUUUGAAUGAAGUGCUAGUGUUUCAGAUAAAUUUUAAAGAAAAUUUCAAAGAAAAUCAUCCCUGCAAGUUUGGUAGACUUGCAAAUGACUUGAUAAGUUCUAUUUGAAUAGAAUAGGCUGCAGUCAGAAUAGAUGCGUAAUUUAGCCUCUCAAGUCUUGAUUCAUUUGUUCAAUCCCAUCUUUUAGAUAUUUAAAAAAAUCAUCUUUAUAUCUAUCUGUUAUA